This 456-nucleotide ribosomal RNA is filed under the name uncultured bacterium. RNAcentral describes it as "bacterial SSU rRNA". It matches the Rfam family "Bacterial small subunit ribosomal RNA", at positions 340 to 786 of the family's 1533-position model. The record is from RNAcentral.
UACGGAAGGCAGCAGUGGGGAAUAUUGCACAAUGGGCGCAAGCCUGAUGCAGCCAUGCCGCGUGUAUGAAGAAGGCCUUCGGGUUGUAAAGUACUUUCAGCGGGGAGGAAGGCGAUGCGGUUAAUAACCGCGUCGAUUGACGUUACCCGCAGAAGAAGCACCGGCUAACUCCGUGCCAGCAGCCGCGGUAAUACGGAGGGUGCAAGCGUUAAUCGGAAUUACUGGGCGUAAAAGCGCACGCAGGCGGUCUGUUAAGUCAGAAUGUGAAAUCCCCGGGCUUAACCUGGGAACUGCAUUUUGAAACUGGCAGGCUUGAGUCUUGUAGAGGGGGUAGAAUUCCAGGUGUAGCGGUGAAAUGCGUAGAGAUCUGGAGGAAUACCGGUGGCGAAGGCGGCCCCUGGGACAAAGACUGACGCUCAGGUGCGAAAGCGUGGGGAGCAAACAGGAUUAUAUACC